Molecule: long non-coding RNA, 1389 nt
Organism: Nycticebus coucang (slow loris)
Lineage: Eukaryota; Metazoa; Chordata; Mammalia; Primates; Lorisidae
Exons: 4
Source: RefSeq, a predicted model, not a curated record
UGGAUAGGGAAUAUAAUCACUUGGUUCAAAAUUCAAAAGAUUAAAAAGAGAUAUGUAGUGAAUUCUUCUUCGUAUUCCUCCUCCUACCUCUGAGUCACCCAAUUUUCUACUCUUCAGACAAUCUGUGUUAACAGUUUCUUGUAUGUUCUUCUAAAGGUGUCUUUCGUAUAUGGAAAUUAAAAAUACAUAUCCUUCCUGCCCCUGCCUUUGGUAGCACAAGACAUACGUUCUUUCUCACCUUGUUUUUUAUUUGUUUUUUUCCCCUAUGGAUUAGCAUUCUUUAUACAACUGUGUGAAUCCACCAAAUGAUGUCUACAUCCAUAUGUGCUGCUGUAACAAAAUAACUGAGACUGAGUAUCAAGAUCAGAAGUUUAUUACUGUUCUGGGGGUUGGGAAGUCCAGGAUCUAGGUGCUGGCUGGUUUGAUGUCUGAUAUACCUGGUGUUGGUGAGCAAGGACCGUUUGUACAUGUGAUAUUGAUGGUGCCAAACCAAAACAGUGACUGGAUAUGAUGAGAAAAGAUGUUAAGAACAAAAGCCUGAUUUUGAAGAGGAAAAGAAAAGCCAGUCAGAUUCAAUGAAGAUGCAAAAUCUGCUGCAACAAAAUUCUUUUACAAAAUAUAAAUUUAUUACGAAAACCUAAAAGGAUCAUCUGAGAAAGCAUACCUGUGGCUGUCUAACCCUGAACUGUUCAGUAUGGUAGUUACGAGCAUAUAUGGCAGGAAAAGAAUCAGUGGGUGGUUAAGUUUCUGACCAUGGCUGAUUUUAGAAUUUGGGUAAGGAAAGACAUAUGAAAAAUCUGUAUGUCUUUUUUUUUUUUUUUUUUUUUUUGAGACAGAGUCUCACUAUGUUGUUCUUGUAGAGUGCAGUGGCGUCACAGCUCACAGCAACCUCAAACUCUUGGGCUUAAGCGAUAUUCUUGCCACAGCCUUCUAAGUAGCUGGGACUACAGGUGCUUGCCACACGCUUGGCUAUUUUUUUGUUGCAGUUGUCAUUGUCGUUUAGCUGGCCUGGGCCAGGUUCAAACCCGCCAGCCUGGGUAUAUGUGGCUGGCACCAUAACCUUUGUGUUACGGGUGCCGAGCCAAGUCUAUAUAUCUUAAUCAAAAAUGUGUGUGUGUACUUUUUUUUUUUUUUUUUGAGACAGUGUCUUGCUUAGCCUCCCAGGCUAGUGCAGUAGUGUCGUCAUAACUUACUGCAACCUCAGACUCCUGGCUUCAAGUGAUCUUCCUGCUUCGAUCUCCCAUAUAACUGGGACAAUAGACUCAUGCCACUACAUCCAGCUAAUUUUUUUUUUUUUUUAGUAGAAAUGUGGUCUUGCUCUUACUCAGGCCAGCCUUGAACUCCUGACCUCAAGGGAUCCUCCUGCCUUGGCUUCCCAGAGUGCUAGGA